CCUACGGGAGGCAGCAGUGGGGAAUAUUGCACAAUGGGCGAAAGCCUGACCCAGCGACGCCGCGUGAGGGAUGAAGGUCUUCGGAUUGUAAACCUCUUUCAGUAGGGAAGAAGCGAAAGUGACGGUACCUAAAGAAGAAGCACCGGCUAACUAUGUGCCAGCAGCCGCGGUAAUACAUAGGGUGCAAGCGUUGUCCGGAAUUAUUGGGCGUAAAGAGCUCGUAGGUCGUUUGUCGCGUCGAUUGUGAAAAUCUGAGGCUCAACCUCAGACCUGCAGUCGGUACGGGCAAACUAGAGUGUGGUUGGGGAGACUGGAAUUCCUGGUGUAGCGGUGGAAUGCGCAGAUAUCAGGAGGAACACCAAUGGCGAAGGCAGGUCUCUGGGCCAUAACUGACACUGAGGAGCGAAAGUGCGGGGAGCGAACAGGAUUAGAUACCCUGGUAGUCCGCACCGUAAACGGUGGGCACUAGUUGUGGGAACCUUCCACGGUUUCCGCGACGCAGCAAACGCAUUAAGUGCCCCGCCUGGGGAGUACGAUCGCAAGAUUAAAACUCAAAGGAAUUGACGG
Molecule: ribosomal RNA, 567 nt
Filed under: uncultured bacterium
Lineage: Bacteria
Description: bacterial SSU rRNA
Rfam family: Bacterial small subunit ribosomal RNA
Source: RNAcentral